UGAUCAAACACAAGUCUGGAGCCUUUGAAAUGUUUAAAAAAUUUAGAAAUGAAGUAGAAAAAUUAACAGACAAACCCAUUAAGAUUCUUUGAUCUAAUCGAGGAGAUGAAUACCUUAGUCAAAAAUUUUUGAGAUAUCUUAAAGAUAAUAGCAUAGUCUCUCAAUAGACUCCUUACAAAAUACUUUAGCUCAAUGAGAUAUCCAAA
This 206-nucleotide long non-coding RNA is filed under the name Elaeis guineensis (African oil palm). RNAcentral's name for it is "long non-coding RNA (EGUI_LNC044355)". The record is from RNAcentral. Lineage: Eukaryota; Viridiplantae; Streptophyta; Magnoliopsida; Arecales; Arecaceae.